GAUGAACGCUGGCGGCGUGCCUAAUACAUGCAAGUCGAACGCUUCACUUCGGUGAAGAGUGGCGAACGGGUGAGUAAUACAUAAGUAACCUGGCAUCUACAGGGGGAUAACUGAUGGAAACGUCAGCUAAGACCGCAUAGGUGUAGAGAUCGCAUGAACUCUAUAUGAAAAGUGCUACGGGACUGGUAGAUGAUGGACUUAUGGCGCAUUAGCUUGUUGGUAGGGUAACGGCCUACCAAGGCGACGAUGCGUAGCCGACCUGAGAGGGUGACCGGCCACACUGGGACUGAGACACGGCCCAGACUCCUACGGGAGGCAGCAGUAGGGAAUUUUCGGCAAUGGGGGAAACCCUGACCGAGCAACGCCGCGUGAAGGAAGAAGUAAUUCGUUAUGUAAACUUCUGUCAUAGAGGAAGAACGGUGGAUAUAGGGAAUGAUAUCCAAGUGAAGGUACUCUAUAAGAAAGCCACGGCUAACUACGU
RNAcentral lists this ribosomal RNA (481 nucleotides) under uncultured bacterium. RNAcentral's name for it is "partial 16S ribosomal RNA". It matches the Rfam family "Bacterial small subunit ribosomal RNA", at positions 28 to 506 of the family's 1533-position model. The record is from RNAcentral.